CCGAAUGUUUAAGUGGCUACUAUAAAACAAAUGAGGUACACAAUUUUAAUCAUAGGUUUCAUGGUAAUAUAAAGUUACUAGAUGAUAAACAAUAUUAUUAUGAGUCCAAUGCAACUGGAAUGGGCUAAAUCGGAGUUAAAAUGCAUUAGUUAUGGAUUUUUGAAGUUUAUUAGUCAUUUGGGUAUUAUUUCUAUAUUGAUUUUUAUAUCCCUGGGGCUAAUAUGCAAAGUCCUCAUUUAAUUUAAUUUUAUUUAUACUGAAAAUGGACGGCAGGUUUAUUUUAGAAAAGCCGAGGGGCUCUUACGCAAAAUGGCACGGCCGAACGAGUAUUUGUGAAUUCUGGCCGCUGGAUCGAAGAUGUGUGACCCAGAUCAGAUCACUCCCCUAUGCGAACCAGUACGUAUCCUUAGUCCUUGGAUCGGAGAUCUACGGUCAGAGACCUACGUGACAUCUAAAUCGCCCGAUAGCCAAUCGACGACCGAAUCUAACUGCCGUGAAGAGGUAUGAUCAUGCGCUAAUUAGAGCCACCCAUCACGACAUCGACGGCCCGCAAUCCUUCUUCCCUAUCCCGCGCCCAGACGCCACGGUAUUGCCUGAACCGCGGCGGGCACCCACCGACGCGACGACCAACACGCAAUUUGCGACCCAAACCCUAAAUCAAUGAUGCUAACCUAACCCCGGGGCUACGGUGAUCAGGGAGAGGCCCAAACAACCGUGCCCAACGGCCAAGAGAGCCCCGCCCACGGAGUUCCACGCUCCGCGACGGAUCCUCAACGUCCAGCGAGCAAUUCCCCGACAGCGAAGACCCUACUCACCUAUCUAACGGGUGCUAUGCGACCCUCCGGACACAACGGAUAGACCAGAGCACUUACUAGGAAUCCGAACGGCACUAGGAGAAGCGACCAUGGCGCGAUGCGGAUUGGCCGUAUCCGCUCAAUCACCGGUGAUGGUCCGAGCCGACUAGAACCGCCCGACGCACAGGAGCACCACCGCAGGAUUCCCGGUCCUGGCAACACACUACGGCUAACAGCACCAGUGCACACGACGAGUGACGACACGGCGGCGCUACCCCUCCUCUGUUCUUUCUUCACUCGCACACGAUCACGGUGGCGGGGCACAGAUCGGGGAGGAUUACGGCGUCGCAGCAGUUUGGGUCUCUUAUAAAGGAAGACGUGUACGACCACCAGGUAUCGAGCUUGGCGCAACAACCCGGCGG
This 1216-nucleotide long non-coding RNA is filed under the name Zea mays. Its description in RNAcentral is "long non-coding RNA NONZMAT003808". Lineage: Eukaryota; Viridiplantae; Streptophyta; Magnoliopsida; Poales; Poaceae. The record is from RNAcentral.